GCCCCAGUGGCGCAAUCGCGCGGUUAGGUACUUAUAAUGCCGAGGUUGUGAGUUCGAUCCUCACCUGGGGCA
Trichonephila inaurata madagascariensis is the source of this 72-nucleotide non-coding RNA. The record is from the annotation of a GenBank genome assembly. NCBI's taxonomy places the organism in Eukaryota, Metazoa, Arthropoda, Arachnida, Araneae, Nephilidae.